AGUGAACGCUGGCGGUAGGCCUAACACAUGCAAGUCGAACGGCAGCACAGUAAGAGCUUGCUCUUACGGGUGGCGAGUGGCGGACGGGUGAGGAAUACAUCGGAAUCUACUUUUUCGUGGGGGAUAACGUAGGGAAACUUACGCUAAUACCGCAUACGACCUACGGGUGAAAGCAGGGGAUCUUCGGACCUUGCGCGAUUGAAUGAGCCAAUGUCGGAUUAGCUAGUUGGCGGGGUAAAGGCCCACCAAGGCGACGAUCCGUAGCUGGUCUGAGAGGAUGAUCAGCCACACUGGAACUGAGACACGGUCCAGACUCCUACGGGAGGCAGCAGUGGGGAAUAUUGGACAAUGGGCGCAAGCCUGAUCCAGCCAUACCGCGUGGGUGAAGAAGGCCUUCGGGUUGUAAAGCCCUUUUGUUGGGAAAGAAAAGCAGCAGGUUAAUACCCCGCUGUUCUGACGGUACCCCAAGAAUAAGCACCGGCUAACUUCGUG
RNAcentral lists this ribosomal RNA (492 nucleotides) under uncultured bacterium. Its description in RNAcentral is "partial 16S ribosomal RNA". It matches the Rfam family "Bacterial small subunit ribosomal RNA", at positions 29 to 507 of the family's 1533-position model. The record is from RNAcentral.